Molecule: ribosomal RNA, 216 nt
Filed under: uncultured bacterium
Lineage: Bacteria
Description: partial 16S ribosomal RNA
Rfam family: Bacterial small subunit ribosomal RNA
Source: RNAcentral
GUAUGGAACUGGACCCGAUGGAGGGGGAUAACUACUGGAAACGGUAGCUAAUACCGCAUAACGUCGCAAGACCAAAGAGGGGGACCUUCGGGCCUCUUGCCAUCGGAUGUGCCCAGAUGGGAUUAGCUAGUAGGUGGGGUAACGGCUCACCUAGGCGACGAUCCCUAGCUGGUCUGAGAGGAUGACCAGCCACACUGGAACUGAGACACGGUCCAG